UGUAAAAUACUUAGUAAAUGCUCAAUAACUGGUAGCUACUUGUUAUUAUUACUGUUGUUGCUGUUGACUUCUGACUUUCCCACUAGAUGGUAGGUGCUGCGAGGGCAGGGCCUGCUCUUUUGCUCCCAUCUUCCUCCUGGAGGUCAUUGGAAAUAUUUGGAGUCUAACUACACACUACUGCUGCAUCCUGGGUGGGUGCCCUUGGGCGAGCCCAGCCCCCUCUCAGAGCCUCUAUUUUCUCCUGUAAAAUGGGGCUCAUGGCAAUGCCUACCUGACAAGGUAGUUUCUUGCCAGGCAUAUGGUAGAUGGCUUCAAAGGAGAAGGAGCUCUAGAGCAGGUCAGGUGGGGCCCCAAGGGGGCAACAUUUUCCUAGCAGUUCUGUGGCUCAUUCAGUCCAGGGAACUUCCAGAGACGGGGCGGGGAAGGUUGUCACUUCUGGCUGAGCUGCUUUGGAAAGGGGACAUGGUGGCAGUGAGAAGAGAGAGGAAGGGGGAUUCUGGCUCUGCUGACCCCCCUGAGGGCAGGUUUCAGCAGCAGGGAUAACCAAGCCCCUUGCUGCAGAGUGGGGACACUCAGGCCACAGUGAGUGGGAGGCUGACGUCCCAGGUGGCUGACCUGCCUCUGAUGCCCAUGUGCUGUGUGGCUCUGGGUACCUGGUGCACCUUCUCUGUGCCCCGAUUUCCUUUGCUGUGAUUGUCUUAGGGAGGCCUCGCUUCCUUGUCUGUUGGAUUUCCCGGCCCCCGCAGACCCACUGGCCCGGCCCCCUUGCCCUCAUGGAGGCUGAGACCAGGGCUCAGGGCCAGGGCUGCGCACCUUGACAACCCGCCCACGCCAGGCACAAAGGCCCAUUGUUUGGGCCCAUGUUGGCGGGGAAGCGGGCGGGGAGCAGCCGCCUUUCACCCAACCCGCUUGUGGUUGGCAGGGACUGAGGAGCGAUUCACAGUGGUCCCCACGCCCUGACCGGGCACCUGGCCAGGCCGCCUCCCGGGCAGGCACCCUCGUGAAGCUGGGCCAGCUCGUACCCUGAGCUGAGCCUCAGUUUCCCCUGAGAUCCACAGGGCUCUGGCCUCCCCUGUCACAGAGAAGCCACCCUGCUGUACUUGAGGUGGCCAUGGGCACCAGGGCUUUAGGGCCCGAUAGGCCUGGGUUCUAGUUCUGGGUGGUUUGGGGUGCGUCUGUUCACCUCCAUGAGCCUUAGUUUUCCCGUCUGUAAAAGGAGGCUUGGAAUCCACGACACUCAGGGUAGAAGGAGAAAAGUGAUAAUAUAAGGCAGCAUUCAUUUGGCCAUUCAUUUAUUCAGAAGUCCAUACUGGUGUCAACUAUGUACGUGACUGGUUAUAGAAUUUUAGUUGCCGUGUACGAAAUUAAAUGCAGUGCCCCUCAUUCAAAAUUAAGAAUUUCAGGAUGGUGCCAGCAUGGGAACUUCUGACAUGGGGCCCUGUGUGAGGGCCUGGGUCACACGGCCAUGAAGCCCACCCUGACUGUGUGCCAGGCUCUAUUCCAAGCGUGGGACACAGCCAAUGAGACAGAGGAAAGCCUCUGCCUUCGUAGAACUGACAAUCUGUCAGGGGACCUAGGGCUCCCUUGGGAUUGCCUGGUAGAUCUUUCUGAACCCGGGUGUCCCUGGAGGCAAGCUCCUUCUGGGCCUGCUCACCAGGCCAUGCAGGGUGAACUGGGGGCACCCAGGCUUCCCUGUGAGGCGCCAGUGUCAGUGACCCCCACAUCAGUCUGGGCACCCACAGUAGUAACGGCUGACAUUUACUGAGUGCAGACUCGGUGCUGGGGCUGAUCAGGGUGUGUACCCAGUGAAUUCAGAGCAUCUUUGUAAUAGCCCUAUGAGGAUGCAAGGCAGUAUACCUGUCCCCUGUACAGAUGGAGAAACAGAGGCUCAAGCCAGUGAAUGGCAGAGGCAGGAUUUAAACCCAGGUUGUCUGGUGCCAGAGCCUUAAUCUCCCCAUGCCACCCUCUGCCAAGGGGGCCAUUGGUGAGCCAGGUGAUGUGUGCCUGGGACAGAGGCCCUGCUGGGGUUUGAGGAUGAGAAGGGCACGGGUGUGCUGGUGGCCCACCAGCUGCCGCCUGGGUUGGCCCCGCUGUGUGACCCUGAAUCACAGCCCUGUGUCCUGGGAAGCUUUCUGUGCCCCAGGCACCCGUGGGGCCUGAGUCACAGUAGAGCACACCCUGCCACCCUGCCCAUCUCCCGCCUGGGCCUCGGGACAGGCAGGCCCUCAGAGCAGGUCCCUAGUCAGGAACUCACAUUUCUACGCACUUUCAGGGGCAAGAGAGAGCCAUCUAUUUGCAGCCCCAGAAACACAUUUCUGCCUUCUCUCCUUGAGCCCAAACCCACCCUUCAAAGUUACCCCAGGAUGGAUUGCUGGCUGGUGAGUUACUGAGCUCCCCAUCGCUGGAGCAUUCAAGGCAGGAUAGCCUGUCAGGGGUGCUGAGGAGUGUUCCUGCAUCAGGCAGGGCCUGGUGCUGGAGUAUGUGUCUUCCAAAGCCCUAAACUUUAUUCAUGCGCUUAUUUUUGAACAGCUACUCUGAGUAAGAGGUACAAAAUCCAAAAAGUACAAAAGAAUAUGGAGUGAAAACUUAUCGUGGACACUGUUCCAGAUCAGCACACACAGGUCUGCUCUAUUCUUCUUACCUUGCCACGUGGUAUUCCUUUUU
This is a long non-coding RNA of Aethalodelphis obliquidens (Pacific white-sided dolphin), 2664 nucleotides long. RefSeq lists it as uncharacterized. Lineage: Eukaryota; Metazoa; Chordata; Mammalia; Artiodactyla; Delphinidae. The record is from RefSeq and is a predicted model, not a curated record. The transcript has 2 exons.